Molecule: small RNA, 20 nt
Filed under: Salix viminalis (osier)
Lineage: Eukaryota; Viridiplantae; Streptophyta; Magnoliopsida; Malpighiales; Salicaceae
Source: RNAcentral
GCGGCACCGUCCGCCAAAAC